AAGAGCAGAGGGGCCGAGCGGCCCUACCAGCCCCGGAGGAGCCCGGGACACAACCACGGGCCAGGCCCCCGGCCCACGGCCACCCGCCCGACCCCUCCGGCUGUGCUCACAGCCUCGGCGAUGACAGGAACCGAUGCCGCGGAGGGCUCUCCUGGGAGAGGCGUCAGGCCUGGUCUCGGCGAGAAGGACGGGCGUUCCAGAAUGCAAGCUCCGCACGAGCAGGACACUGUCCAACGGCUCCACCGGCGAGACCCAGGGCCUGGCACGGCGUCAUCGCUCAAUAAACGUUUGUUGAGUGAAUUCACACGUGAGCAAUUAAAAACGCACACCAAGUGUUUCGCGUGGGGCCUGGCAAGACGUCGCCCCAGGUGGCUAUGGCCUGGAUCAGCAGUGUCAUCCUCGGCACAGCCCCAGGCCUCCUGCUUCAUGGGUCGGCACGGGUGGCUCUCCCUCUGAGAGGUGGGGCAAGGGGGUGUUGUGUCCGGGAGGGACGUUGUGUGCCAUGGUGGCAGCUGGGAUCAUCCGCGGGGCUCGGUAUACCCCCCGGGGGACGUGUCUUCCACGGAGAGCACACGUCCUGGCGUCACAGGUCCUGAGGUUGGCACCGCGAGGACGCCCGGGGCCCAGGCCAGCAGGCGGGAGGGCCCUCGGGAGGUGAAGAGGGGCAGCACCAUGACCGCGGGGAUCAGAUGGUUCCCUGGAUCCGUGUUCCCUGCUUCGGGGGCGGUGACAAGCCUCUCCUACUGCCCGUGAGUGCGUUCCUGGGUGGAGGGACCUCCCAGGCUUCCCGCCCCCCACGCCCAUCAAGGUGACCCUGGAAAAAAACCAUCAGAGGCCCUUUAAGUGGUGCUUCCUGCAGGGUUUCCAUGGCAACGCUGUGUGAACUGGCUGGGGUUGGUGGGCUGGCCCCCUCCUCCCUGCCUGACUCCUCCCUGCCUGACUGCCAUCCAGCCAUCAUGGCCUGGGCUCCUCCGGGCCGCCGGAUCUUCAGCCUCCGCAGCCUCGGUUUAUCCACUCGUAACACGGGGACGGCGACUGUAUCCGUCUCAGAGGGCGGUUCCGACGAUGAAGCGCAUCGCCAAGGAAGCUGCCCCAGCCCCACAGCCACAAGGAAACGGAUUCUCCGAAGGGUCACGCGAGCCGCGGAGAGGGCCCUGAGCCUCAGGCAAGCCCCCGGCCCCGCGGCCGACAGCGGGCUACAGCCCUGUGGGACCCCGGGUGCGAGCCCUGCGGCGCCUGAAGCCCGACCGCGGAGACUGCGCCGUAGUAAAUGCACCUGACGUCGCUACGUCUGUGGCACUUUGUCACGCGGCCUGGACACGAGGCAGGUGUUGGAGGCCACGCCCCCCGGCGUCACUGCACCCCCCCCACCCCAGCAGGUGCGUGAGGCCAGGUGUGCGGCUUCCAGGGUGGCCCGGGCGCCUCCGACACGUAGAAGGACAUCUGCCAAGAGCGUCCUGUUGUCCUGGACGGAAAAGAUUGGCACCCGCUCGGAAGCCCACGGGGGUUCUGCUUGGCUUGCCGCGAGCCUGGUCGGAAAAUGCAGAAGGGCACGCGUGAGGCGACGGUGUGGCGCCGCCGGCUUCAUCGCCAACGUGAUGGGACGCAAAGGCCCGAAAGGCAGUGAAGGCGGGUGCCCACAGGGUCCUGGGCUGCAUGGGCCGCUCACGGGGCGCUCAGAGGUCCGUCUCCUUAACCCGAAUAUGAGCCUCGGCCCUACUUCCAUGUCACCAACCUGGUCCCCGGCCUUGGAUGUUUCCAGGUUUAAUACGGGACACCCCGGUCCUGGCUGAGCCUGCGGGCAGGUGGGGCGGCACUGUUGGUUACCUGCCCCUCCGCCCCGUGUGUCCCCGACUUUGGGGGCCUCGAGCUGCUCCUGACCUCCCCAGGCGGACGGCCACCCAUGCAGACGCCCUGCACGGCCCCCUGCGGGCACCUCCCCGUGCGCCUCGGCUGCCCAAGUCCAUGUGCCUCCACUGCCCGAGCCCGUGCGCCUCUCCCUGCCCCAGCCCCUGUACCUCCCCUGCUCCAGCCCCU
This is a long non-coding RNA of Canis lupus familiaris (dog), 2037 nucleotides long. RefSeq lists it as uncharacterized. NCBI's taxonomy places the organism in Eukaryota, Metazoa, Chordata, Mammalia, Carnivora, Canidae. The transcript is spliced from 3 exons. The record is from RefSeq and is a predicted model, not a curated record.